Molecule: non-coding RNA, 208 nt
Organism: Oryza glaberrima (African rice)
Lineage: Eukaryota; Viridiplantae; Streptophyta; Magnoliopsida; Poales; Poaceae
Source: Rfam
AAUAAGUGUAGUUUUGCACUGUUUAUGUCUAACGUUUGACCGUUCGUCUUAUUUAAAAAUUUUUUACGAUUAAUAUUUUUAUUGUUAUUAGAUGAUAAAACAUGAAUAGUAUUUUAUGUGUGACUAAUUUUUUUUAAUUUUCUCAUAAAUUUUUCAAAUAAGACGGACGGUCAAACGUUGAACACGGAUUCUCACUGCUAUACUUAUU